Molecule: transfer RNA, 73 nt
Filed under: Saccharothrix algeriensis
Lineage: Bacteria; Bacillati; Actinomycetota; Actinomycetes; Pseudonocardiales; Pseudonocardiaceae
Also listed under: 1 other name
Description: tRNA-Val
Rfam family: tRNA
About the family: Transfer RNA (tRNA) molecules are approximately 80 nucleotides in length.
Source: RNAcentral
GGGCGUGUAGCUCAGUGGGAGAGCAUCCGCCUUACAAGCGGAGGGUCGGCAGUUCGAACCUGUCCACGCCCAC